This is a long non-coding RNA of Cavia porcellus (domestic guinea pig), 2841 nucleotides long. RefSeq lists it as uncharacterized. Lineage: Eukaryota; Metazoa; Chordata; Mammalia; Rodentia; Caviidae. The record is from RefSeq and is a predicted model, not a curated record. The transcript has 6 exons.
AGCCUCUGGGGCUGCAGAACUGAAGGGUGCUGGAGGCACAGGCAGCCAGACCACAGCCGGGGAUGGUGCAGUCCCCAUCUGGGGCAGCUCCCGCUUCAGGUAGAGGCAGAACCUGGCCCAGGGAGUGGGUCAAGUUGCCCACAAGGAACUCGAGCGUCUCUGAGGGCAGAGGGUUUGAAGAGGGAGGAGGGUACAAGGAACUGGAGGGCUGGUAGCAAAGAGGCAGAGGCACUUCUGGAGCAACUUCAAUGUCAUGCUGAAUUAGACCAUAAAAAGCUGAAGCAACCCAGCCCUGGAUCAAUCUCAGCCCCAGCGUCUUAGCUCCUAGGCUGUGUGUGCUUAGCUCUUGCAAAAGGCUGGAGCCCCACAGAGCCACCCACACACUGUGUGAUCUAAGAGGAGCCACUGGUCAUCUCUUAGUCAUUGACUGACAUGUCCAAGUACUACCAAGUUUCCCUUCCAUCUCCUGAAGGACCUCCACCAUGACAUCUGUGAGGAUAAAUAAAAUGCAGGUGAUGUCUCGCUCAUGUAACUGGGCAUGAGACAUCAUGUUGCUGUGUGGUUCAUGUCGGCCUUGAACUUAGUACGGAGCCCAGGCUGGCCUUGAAUAGCAAAAAUAGAUUGAAAAGACAUCCGAAUCAUGUGACUAUUGUGGAGAGCAAAUGGAAAUAAGGUGGAACCGGCACGAGUGAGCUGAGGCUGGACGAGGAGGACUGAAGUUAGGCAGCAAGAAAAACUCCCGGCACGAAUGGUGGAAAGCACCGGGCAGAUGACAGCGAAGCUGCUGCUUUUUGCCAUCUUAGCCAAAAGUCCGGCCAGUGUCGCAGGCCCUGAGCUCCUCAGCGGUCUUUUUAGCCCAAGGCUCGCUGCAUAAAAAUCUGGGCAUUUCCCUGCUGGUAGCUAGAACUCUGCCUUUUUCUUGCUUCUCCCUUUCAUUGUGUCCACCAUUCCAGUACGCUGAAUUCACUCACUCAUCAGUCAGCAUCCUUACAACUAUUUAAUGCUUGAUGCUGGUGGCAUUGGUACUCUUGGAUCUCUGUGAUGACAUCUAUAAAUGCUAAACAUAUUCACAAAUGUAUGUCAUUUGGGGCUCACUUUCUCCUUUUUAGCCAAGGAGUAGCCUAAGUUCGAUCUGGCAAGCUUUCAGAGAACAGAGGCAGAGCUGCAGCCCCCAAAUUCUGCACCGCUCCUGGCCCACAGAGGGAAAGGGAGACAGACAGCUGCAAGGAAAGGCAGGCGCCUGUCAUUUCAGCUCAUUUGCAUAUUUUAGACAGCCAGGAAGGGUGGGGUAGGGUUAAAAUUAGACCGUAUUAGAGGCAGUUGGAGAUGAGGAAAUGAGUCUAACGCUUCCUUGGUAAUUGUCACUAAGGUUGUGGAAGGUGUGCUGUCCCUGAACGCAAGCUGGUAAUAAACAACGCAGGAGUCGGAAAUGAACAACUGGCUCAGCACUUUCUGGCAUGUUUGGGAGGCUCUUUUGAGUGUCUGUGUCUGUCUUCCUCCUUCUUUUCAUUUUCUCCUGAGAGCAGAGACAAAGAUAAUCAUUGAUACCCUCUAACCAAUAACGACAGGGGAUCCCCAGCUGGAGUAAAUUCCACAAUUAGUGAUCAGAUGACCUCUUCAAGGCUCAGCUAAAGGUGUCCUUCCAGGUGUACAGUGGGAGUGGUCAGACCUACACAUAGUUAGUGAGAAGACAACCAGUGAUCCAAGCGGCUAAGGGAGUACAGAGAAGAAAGCUUUUGGAGGAGCUUCCUAUUGGGGUACCGUUUGAUCUUGGCCUGAAAGGGUGAGAACAGUUUGUGCACUAGAGACACAAACGGAGAGAGAAAGGGAUGAACUCCCCAAUAAUGGCAUUCAUAGCAGGAGAUCCCUACUACCUCUGUGGUUGAACACAACACAGCAUGACCUAAUCUGUGGCUCACUUUGAUUGGAUCCUAGGUUGCACAAAAUGGAAAUAAAGCAAGAACAAAAGAGGACAUUAAAGCAUGGAGGCCCAAACAGGAAUUUGCUGAUAGGCAAUAGGGAGCUUGGAAGGAUUCUGAGUGCAUGUGACUAAGUUAGGACUGGGCUUUGGGUAGGGUUAUGCGGUACAGGGUCUGGGAUGGCUUGGAGCAGAAAAGAUCAAGUAGGGAAAAUCACAGAAGUGAUGACAUCCCUUGAGGCAGUGGAGCAUCCUACCCAAGGACUAAAGAGGAAGUCUCGGUGACUGUGGUUUGAAUUUAUCCCCCGUAAGUCACCUGUCAGGAACCUAAUCCCCAACAUGACAGCACAGAGAGACAGGAACUUUGAGGGGUGACUAAGUCAUAAGGAUUCUGAGCUCAUGAAUGAAUCAAUGCAAUAACAGAAGGAGACGUUUCUCGGUAAGACGAGUUAAUAGUCCUCCAUAUUUCAUGCUUUACCCUGGAAUCACAAGACAAGAAAGCCCUCAUGGGACGCUGUCUUUUGAUGUUGUACUUCAGAGCCUCCAGAAUCCCAGCCACAUAAACUCCUCCGUGAGGUCUCAGGUAUCCUAUUAUGUUGGGAGCCUGCCGUAUUACCCAUGAGAAUAUAGCCACAAGAUGGCGUCCGCCUACCGCCUCGCUGCUCCCCCGCCCAUCGUGUGCCCAAGAUGGCACACACAUCCUGCUUCCUGGUUCUUGCUCGGCUUACUGUCCCCGCCAUAUAUGGUAAUGAUUGAUUGCUUCCUUGUUGCCGCCCAAUCGCCUGUCCCCACGUGUAAUCCCAUGAUUGGAUAACAUUAGCUAUAUAAGCCCAAGUGUAGGAAGUGCCUGACGCACAACACGGAAGAAGCCGUCGAGGACGGACAUGUAUUGAGGUUGCUGCCCAGUCAAUAAAGGUGCUUGC